GUCCUUGAAAAAGACAUGUUAGUUUCAUUAGAAACUGAAUUGGAAAUUACGUCGUCGACUGAGGUGGACCGGGUUAGGGCUUGAAACUCCAGAGCUAAAAAGAAGUCCCACUCCGGCUCUGGCAUAGAUGGAUGUCCUUCCUAGAGGAAGGGGGUGGUGGUGGGCAUAGAUUGUUGGAUAGAUGUCUUCCCUGUGGCAGUUAUCUACAUUGUAGGUAAUGGACACAAGAGCAUCGGUGGAGUUUUAUCUAAAAAUUGCUGGAGAACAGCCAGCAGGUAGGGCUCUGUUAGUGCUGUCUUUGUCUUUUACAGACUGGAGUGCAGCAUGUGGAGAAAAAUGGAAAUCACCUACCUCAGCAAUGACUGGAAACUGGGGGUCAAGAAUAUCCUUCAAAAAUAGAUGGAUGGGUGCAUGGAUGGAUGUCCUUCCAAGAGGAAGGGGGUGGUGGUGGGCAUACUGUAGAUUGUCAGAUAGAUGUCAUCUCUGUGGCUGCACUGCUGCACUGCAGAAGCUCAGCCAGCAGGUAGGGCUCUGUUGGUGCUGCCUUUGUCUUUUGCAGAUUGGAGUGGAGCAGAAGAAGGAAACUCACAAGGAAACAGUGGAGAUUUAUCUGAAGAACACUGGAGAACACUGUUUAUUGCUGGAGAUCAGCCAGCAAGUGGAGCUUUGUUAGUUUUGUUUUCGUCUUUUCCAGAUUAGACUGGGGCAUGUGGAGAAAUAGGAAUCACACCUCAGCGAUGACUGCAAACUGAAGACUGGAGUGCAGCAUGUGGAGACAAAUGGGAAUCACCUACCUCAGCAAUGACUGGACACUGAUGGUCAAGAAUAUCAUUCAAAAACAGAUGAAUGGGUGCAUGGAUGGAUGUCCUUCCUAGAGGAAGGGGUGGUGGUGGGCAUGAAUUGUUGGAUAGAUGUCUUCUCUGUGGCUGUUAUCUACAUUGUAGGUAAUGGAAAUAAGGGCAUCGGUGGAGUUUUAUCUAAAAAUUGCUGGAGCUCAGCCAGCAGGUAGGGCUCUGCUGGAGCUGUCUUUGUCUUUUGGAGAUUGGAGUGUAGCCGAAGAAGGAGACUUACAAGGAAACUGGAGAUUUAUCUGAAGAACACUGGAGAACACUGUUUAUUGCUGGAGAUCAGCCAGCAAGUGGAGCCUUGUUAGUCUUGUUUUUGUCUUUUGCAGAUUAGACUGGGGCAUGUGAAGAAAUAGGAAUCACAACUCAGCGAUGACUGCAAACUGAAGAUCUGGUUAGACUGGAGUGCAGCAUGUGGAGACAAAUGGGAAUCACCUACCUCAGCAAUGACUGGAUACUGAUGGUCAAGAAUAUGCUUCAAAAACAGAUGGAUGGGUGCAUAGAUGGAUGUCCUUCCUAGAGGAAGGGGGUGGUGGUGGCCAUAUUGUAGAUUGUCAGAUAGAUGUCAUCUCUGUGGCUGUUAUUAACAUUGUAAAUAAUGGAUACACAACAGGGAGAAGAUGGAGACUUACAAGAACAUUGUGGAGAACAGCUUAUGCACUGCAGGAGCUCAGCCAGCAGGUAGGGCUCUGUUGGCGCUGUCUUCGUCUUUUGCAGAUUGGAGUGGAGCAGAAGAAGGAAACUCACAAGGAAACAGCGGAGAUUUAUCUGAAGAACACUGGAGAACACUGUUUAUUGCUGGAGAUCAGCCAGCAAGUGGAGCUUUGUUAGUCUUGUUUUCGUCUUUUGCAGAUUAAACUGCAGCAUGUGGAGAAAUAGGAAUCACACCUCAGCGAUGACUGCAAACUGAAGACUGGAGUGCAGCAUGUGGAGACAAAUGGGAAUCUCAGCAAUGACUGGACACUGAUGGUCAAAAAUAUCCUUCAAAGACAGACGAAUGUGUGCAUGCGUGGAUGUCCUUCCUUAAGGCAGGGGUGGUGGUGGGCAUAGAUUGUUGGAUAGAUGUCUUCUCUGUGGCUGUUAUCUACAUUGUAGAGAAUGGAAUUAAGAGCAUCGGUGGAGUUUAAUCUAAAAAUUGCUGGAGAACAGCCAGCAGGUAGGGCUCUGUUAGUGCUGUCUUUGUCUUUUGCAGAUUGGAGUGCAGCAUGUGGAGACAAGUGGGAAUCACCUACCUCAGCAAUGACUGGAAACUAAUGGUCAAGAUUAUCCUUCAACAACAGAUGGAUGGGUGCAUGGAUGGAUGUCCUUCCAAGAGGAAGGGGGUGGUGGUGGGCAUACUGUAGAUUGUCAGAUAGAUGUCAUCUCUGUGGCUGUUAUUAACAUUGUAAAUAAUGGAUACACAACAGGGAGAAGAGGGAGACUCACAAGAGUAUUGUGGAGAACAGCUUACGCACUGCAGGAGCUCAGCCAGCAGGUAGGGCUCUGUUAGUGCUGUCUUUGUCUUUUGCAGAUUGGAGUGGAGCAGAAGAAGGAGACUCACAAGGAAACAGUGGAGAUUUAUCUGAAGAUCACUGGAGAACACUGUUUAUUGCUGGAGAUCAGCCAGCAAGUGGAGCUUUGUUAGUGUUGUUUUUGUCUUUUGCAGAUUAGACUGGGGCAUGUGGAGAAAUAGGAAUCACAACUCAGCGAUGACUGCAAACUGAAGGUCUGGUUAGACUGGAGUGCAGUAUGUGGAGAAAAAUGGGAUUCACCUACCUCAGCAAUGACUGGACACUGAUUGUCAAGAAUAUCCUUAAAAAACAGAUGGAUGGGUGCAUGGAUGGAUGUCCUUCCUAGAGCAAGGGGGAGAAGAGGGAGACUCACAAGAGCAUUGUGGAGAACAGCUUACGCACUGCAGGAGCUCAGCCAGCAGAUUAGACUGGGGCAUGUGGAGAAAUAGGAAUCACACCUCAGCGAUGACUGCAAACUGAAGACUGGAGUGCAGCAUGUGGAGAAAAAUGGGAAUCUCAGCAAUGACUGGACACUGAUGGUCAAGAAUAUUCUUCAACAACAGAUGGAUGGGUGCAUGAAUGGACGUCCUUCCUAGAGCAAGGGGUAGGUGGUGGGCAUACUGUAGAUUGUCAGAUAGAUGUCAUCUCUGUGGCUGUUAUUAACAUUGUAAAUAAUAGAUACACAACAGGGAGAAGUGGGAGACUCACAAGAGCAUUGUGGAGAACAGCUUAUGCACUGCAGGAGCUCAGCCAGCAGAUUAGACUGGGGCAUGUGGAGAAAUAGGAAUCACACCUCAGCGAUGACUGCAAACUGAAGGUCUGGUUAGACUGGAGUGCAGCAUGUGGAGACAAAUGGGAAUAACCUACCUCAGCAAUGACUGGAAACUGGUGGUUAGAGGUUAUGUAUUACCUGAAUGAAUAUUAAAAAAAAUAAAUAAAAAAUAGAUGUC
Non-coding RNA from Danio rerio (zebrafish), 3285 nucleotides. The record is from RefSeq and is a predicted model, not a curated record. NCBI's taxonomy places the organism in Eukaryota, Metazoa, Chordata, Actinopteri, Cypriniformes, Danionidae.